RNAcentral lists this transfer RNA (71 nucleotides) under Pseudogobius fulvicaudus. RNAcentral's name for it is "tRNA-Trp". It matches the Rfam family "tRNA". From Rfam's summary of the family: Transfer RNA (tRNA) molecules are approximately 80 nucleotides in length. Their secondary structure includes four short double-helical elements and three loops (D, anti-codon, and T loops). Further hydrogen bonds mediate the characteristic L-shaped molecular structure. tRNAs have two regions of fundamental functional importance: the anti-codon, which is responsible for specific mRNA codon recognition, and the 3' end, to which the tRNAs corresponding amino acid is attached (by aminoacyl-tRNA synthetases). tRNAs cope with the degeneracy of the genetic code in two manners: having more than one tRNA (with a specific anti-codon) for a particular amino acid; and 'wobble' base-pairing, i.e. permitting non-standard base-pairing at the 3rd anti-codon position. Lineage: Eukaryota; Metazoa; Chordata; Actinopteri; Gobiiformes; Gobiidae. The record is from RNAcentral.
AGAGGCUUAGGAUAACAUAAGACCAAAGGCCUUCAAAGCCUUAAGUGAGGGUGAAAAUCCCCCAGCCUCUG